This is a long non-coding RNA of Cavia porcellus (domestic guinea pig), 464 nucleotides long. RefSeq lists it as uncharacterized. The transcript has 2 exons. NCBI's taxonomy places the organism in Eukaryota, Metazoa, Chordata, Mammalia, Rodentia, Caviidae. The record is from RefSeq and is a predicted model, not a curated record.
AUACUUUUUUUUUUUCUUUUUCUUUUUUAUCGGUACAGGGGAUCGAAUUCACGACUGCCUGCUUGCAAGGCAGACGCUUAUGCUGCUGAGCUAACGUCAAUAUACCACGCAAAGCUCGUGAACGUGGUCGGUCCUGAAAGCCGCCGUACUGCACUCACCCUUCACGCGAAUGGAAAGAGACGAAUCACAUCCUGGGAGAUACCUGCAAACAUUUACCCAAGGAGAACUGCUGUAGGAGAGUGUAAGGAAUUCCUGGGACCUGCAUGGGCAAAGAGGCUGGAAAUGCAAAUCAUGACUACAGUUCAUCUCUACCGCCCACUCUCUGGCAGGAAUCAACAGCUCUGACGAAACCUGCAUGGCCAGGGCUGCAAGGUGAGACGCGCAACAGUCAGACUGCAGACAACGAAGUAACGCAGAACUGGAAACACCACAGACAUUUAUCAAUAAAAUAGAAUUUGAAAGUA